GCACUGCUGAGGAGUCUCAUACCAGGACGAAACGGCCGUUCAGUAU
Schistosoma mansoni is the source of this 46-nucleotide non-coding RNA. The record is from Rfam. NCBI's taxonomy places the organism in Eukaryota, Metazoa, Platyhelminthes, Trematoda, Strigeidida, Schistosomatidae.